This 212-nucleotide long non-coding RNA is filed under the name Mytilus galloprovincialis (Mediterranean mussel). Lineage: Eukaryota; Metazoa; Mollusca; Bivalvia; Mytilida; Mytilidae. The record is from RNAcentral.
AAAACCUAUAUAUCUAUAUAUUUAUAUGAUCUAUGAUGCGUCUUUUUGCACCUCCAGUUUCUUAAAUACCUAGUAGUAUUUCAUCGAAACAUUUAAGUCAUAAUAAACGAGUGACCGAUGAAAAAUAAUGUUAUUCCAAUUCUUGAACCAAUGCAUACAAACAUCAUAAACUUAGUCUUCUGUGUACGAUUUUAUCAUUUUUAUACGACCGC